This is a long non-coding RNA of Microplitis mediator, 1655 nucleotides long. RefSeq lists it as uncharacterized. The record is from RefSeq and is a predicted model, not a curated record. The transcript is spliced from 3 exons. Lineage: Eukaryota; Metazoa; Arthropoda; Insecta; Hymenoptera; Braconidae.
UGAACACACAAUGACGAUAAUUGCGCGACUGCGUACAGAAAUAUAGUCUUUUAGUUUCGAUAUAAAAGUUCAGUUCUUGUCGAUUGUUUUGUUUACUUUUUAUUUUUAAUUUAUAUAACAACGAAUUGUUAAAUAAUUCGUUUGAUUUUUUUUUGUUCUUUAUUCCUACAGUAUUUUUAUUACUCAUUAUCAGGAGUCGUGUUGAAAGUUAUUGCAGAGAUCUAGUCAACUAAAAUGAAUCGACACUACGUGCGGACCACGCGCGAUGACGGUGCCUCACUAAAAGUACCAAUCAGCAGUGGUGGUAACAGUGACCUCGAUACCGUUGUCCCCCCAAUCUCAAGAAGGUGCCCAAUGCCAAAAAUUUAACGCCGCCCAGAACUUUCACUCUACUCCUUUUCUCCGUAAUUUUCAGUUUUUAACUAUUUUUAAGUUUUUUUUUUUAUCCAUCCAUAUGUAUAUAUUUACACACCCAUUUUACUAUACUCCAAAAAGAAGAAAUAAUUAACCUUCUAAAAAUAAAUUCAUAUUAUAUCAUUUUUAAUUUUAAACAGGAUUAAUUAUGAUAAUUAAUUAUUAUUAUAUUCAUUUUAUAUUUUAAAUGUUUCACUUUCAACUGAAAACAAAAAAAAAAAAAAAAAAGAAAUCAAUGAAGUUUAUUUAAUGAAAGUAUAAUCUACGUCAUAUUUAUAAAAAGAUUAACUUUUUUUUUUUGGUUUUUAUAAAAGUAAAAGUCACUCGAAAAUUUUAAACAACGUAAUAGUGUUUAAUUAAAAAAAAAGUAAUUUUGAUCCGAUAUAACAAAAAAACUAAAAUUUCAAUGAAGUAUGUUUUAUGCACAUACAUAUAUAUAUAUUUAUGUUUAAAGGACUUGGAUAUAAAAGUAACUAGCGUUUAGAAUAUGAGACGGCUAUCGUGGGUCGCAGCAGCCGACGUUUACUGCAUUUAUUCUGUAGCUGCACGUUACGAACUGGUCGGCCAUGGCAUACUUAGUAAUGUCAAUCACACGGGCUAAAUGGUAGUAGUGGUGUGUAAACGUUUAUAUAUCGAGAAUCACGCGUACAUACAGAUAUAUAUACAUAUUACUUGCAGGUAACAUAUAAAGUUUGUAGCUACAUUGACCGUGCGAUAGUCGACCCUCCCAUCUUGCCUAUCGAGCUUACUAAGUCCUCGACCCUCUGACCCUCUCGCGAGCCGAAUACAACACUGUCUGUUUGUCAGUCUUGAUAGUCUAGGGAAGAAAGCGUUCACUUCCGGAGACCUGGAUCAAACUAAGACUUUCUUUUUUUAUUCAAUUUUCGUUUCUCAUAUUUUCAUUGUCGAAAUAUAUUUCUAAUAAAUAUCAAUACGUAAAAUUAAAAAUCUAACCACUUGAAAUUUAAAAUUUUUAUUAGAUUUUUUAAAAACAAUUUACAUUUUAUAAUAAAUAUGAGUAUACUGAUAUUUAAUUCAUAUAUCAUAAGAUUAUUACUUUUUAUUUCUUUUACUAUUUCAAAUGUCAAACGAUUUUUCGAAUGUCAGAAAAUAUUUUUUAAUAUUGUACUAUCCAAAAUAUAUAUUUACACAUACUCAAUUUUGAUUAUUCUAAAUUCUAAUAAAAUUUGUAUGAACAUUUUUUUUAACUUUUGAAAUAUUUAUUUUAUAAAAAUGUAUAU